CUGGAUUUUGUCUCUCUGUUCCCUGAAUAAUACUGGGUCAAGAUUGGCAAUUCCCUUUCUGUAGUCUUAUCUUCUUUCUCUAAACAGUUGCUAGACAGUUGAAUUGAUUUCUGCUAACCUGAUUGUAACCACUUCGGUUUUGGCUCCUGAGAUUAUAUCCUCAUCUUAAUUGGAGCCUUGGAGUGUUUCUAAACUCCUCAGUUACACAUCCACAGACAGUUUUAUAGAUUGCUCCCACAACCAGCUAAUUUAUUAAGUAUGGAUUUUACCCGUUUAGUUCUCAGAACUGCCUUAUUUUCAACACUUUAUGUAAAUUACUUCCUCAAAAGAAACUUUUUAAACGCUUUCGAUUCAAUCCAGUAAGUAUAAAGUGUCAGCACUGUAUUUUGCCUUGAGGAUAAAAAAGGAAAGAAGGAAAUUCAGAGUUAGUUACUGUAAGAGUUGAAGUCGCAAGACCCAAUUUUUCAGUGAUUUUCCAAACACUUAAAACUCUAUACCUCUUAGAAUGAUGUGAUAAGAUAGUUGCACAGCUCUGUAAGUAUACUAAAAAUCGUUGAAUUGUACAGUUGAAGGGAGUGAAUUAUAUGUAAAUUAUAACUCUACAAAUUUUUUUAAGCGACUUGGGGAAAAAAUAUUUCCAACAAUCAGCAGAAUCACGCUUUCCAUUCUUCUAAAGGCAUUGUUGGGGGUGAGCGGUGCUGUAGAGUAAUUUGCACUGAAACAUGGCUUCCCUAAUUUGGAAAUUCUGUUUUCCAUAUUCAUGUGUCAACCUCUCCUGUCCCUUCUGGAGAUGACUGUUACUUUUACUAGGUGGACACAAAGAUUAGGACUCUUGAUUCCACUGUGUGUAGGAAUCACCUCCAGGAACUGUUCACUUGUGUAAUUCUCUAUUCUCUUGUUCCACUUGUUUUAAUGACUAAUACUCUCUGAAGACAAAAGGAAAUAACAUGGUAUGUUAUCUUUUUGUUUCAUUUAUAUUUGUCUCAUCUUCCAUAGUAAACUAUGUUGAGGACAGGUUUCUAUUGUAACUCCCUUUAUUACCAGUAAAUUUUUUGUUAAAAUGAGUGUUAUUAACUAUUUACUGACUGCUCUUUGAGAAAGAUGGGGCACAGAAUGUUUCUAUGGAAACUGCAUCAUG
Molecule: long non-coding RNA, 1138 nt
Filed under: Sus scrofa (pig)
Lineage: Eukaryota; Metazoa; Chordata; Mammalia; Artiodactyla; Suidae
Description: lncRNA (ENSSSCG00035066330.1)
Source: RNAcentral